GACGAACGCUGGCGGCGUGCUUAACACAUGCAAGUCGAGCGGAAAGGCCCUUCGGGGUACUCGAGCGGCGAACGGGUGAGUAACACGUGGGUAACCUGCCCUAGGCUUUGGGAUAACCCCGGGAAACCGGGGCUAAUACCGGAUAUGACCUGGAGCCGCAUGGUGUUGGGUGGAAAGUUUUUUCGGCCUGGGAUGGGCUCGCGGCCUAUCAGCUUGUUGGUGGGGUGAUGGCCUACCAAGGCGAUGACGGGUAGCCGGCCUGAGAGGGCGACCGGCCACGCUGGGACUGGGACGCGGCCCAGACUCCUACGGGAGGCAGCAGUGGGGAAUAUUGCACAAUGGGCGGAAGCCUGAUGCAGCGACGCCGUGUGGGGGAUGAAGGCCUUCGGGUUGUAAACCUCUUUCAGCAGGGACGAAGCGUGAGUGACGGUACCUGCAGAAGAAGCGCCGGCCAACUACGUG
RNAcentral lists this ribosomal RNA (462 nucleotides) under uncultured bacterium. RNAcentral's name for it is "partial 16S ribosomal RNA". It matches the Rfam family "Bacterial small subunit ribosomal RNA", at positions 28 to 507 of the family's 1533-position model. The record is from RNAcentral.